ACUGACUUGCAGGUGUAACAAUGACCCCAAGAUACGACACAAAAAGGGAGCUGUCCUUCUACAAGUGCUUGAUCAACUGAUUUAAUGGAAAGAAGUUCAGAAUAUGAAGUGCAACAAGGAUAUGUUCAACACACUUUCUGUGACACUUGUCUUUGAAUGCAAAGGAUGUCCAAGAUUCCAGUGAUUGUAACAAGUCAAUAGGAUUACCUGAAAAAGUGUGAGUUAAUUUUUACAUGUGUCACAAGUACAGUCUGCAGAGACAAGCACUUCUAUCAUUGAGGGAAAGUCUGCAUUGUCAAGUUCUUUGCAUAGACAGAAAAGAGAUAAGCAAUGGGUGUAUGGACCAGACCAGGAUUCAAGUCAGGGCCCCCUGAAUCAGUAGUCAUUUGCUCUACCAAUUCAACUAUCUGGCCACCAGAAAUCGAACCCACCUGAAUGCCCUAUAUGGAUCUGUGGAACUCUGAAAUAUCCAAGAUUUAUCAAUAAGAGAGGUUUUACUCCACCUAUGUCAAGUGACCAUAAUUUAACAAUUCACUGUAUACACUUCAACAAAACUGCAACCCAAGAAGAAAUUAUUGUCCUAUUAUUAAUCUUCUGGCUACAGAAAAAAAAUUACGUGUGAUGUUAGUAUAGUUUUUUUAUUAUGUUUACUGAUACUGUGGACCUUAUUUAAACUUGUAGGAUAUCAAUCUCCUAUGCAGAGUUGUCAUUUGUUCCUCUCUCAGACAUGUAUGGGCCAAUGGUAGAGAGUGGUAGAAUAUUUCACAUGUAUAAUAUUUUUACACAAUACAUUCAAUUUAAAGGCAGUCAAGUUUAUAACUUAAGAUUUUUGUUUUUUUUCAAUUCUAGCUCCCAAUACACAAGUAUAAG
This is a long non-coding RNA of Saccostrea echinata, 870 nucleotides long. RefSeq lists it as uncharacterized. NCBI's taxonomy places the organism in Eukaryota, Metazoa, Mollusca, Bivalvia, Ostreida, Ostreidae. The record is from RefSeq and is a predicted model, not a curated record. The transcript has 3 exons.